Molecule: ribosomal RNA, 412 nt
Filed under: uncultured bacterium
Lineage: Bacteria
Description: bacterial SSU rRNA
Rfam family: Bacterial small subunit ribosomal RNA
Source: RNAcentral
GCUGCUCCCCACCUCCAGAGAACUUUCCGGAGGUGGGUUGGUGCUUUCGGGAACCCUGAGACAGGUGCUGCAUGGCUGUCGUCAGCUCGUGUUGUGAAUUGUUGGGUUAAGUCCCGUAACGAACGCAACCCUUAUCCUUAUUUGCCAGCGAGUAAUGUCGGGAACUCUAAGGAGACUGCCGGUGACAAACCGGAGGAAGGUGGGGAUGACGUCAAGUCAUCAUGGCCCUUACGAGUAGGGCUACACACGUGCUACAAUGGCCGGUACAGAGGGCUGCAAACUCGCGAGAGCAAGCUAAUCUCACAAAACCGGUCGUAGUCCGGAUCGCAGUCUGCAACUCGACUGCGUGAAGUCGGAAUCGCUAGUAAUCGUGAAUCAGAAUGUCACGGUGAAUACGUUCCCGGGCCUUGUA